Molecule: ribosomal RNA, 206 nt
Filed under: uncultured bacterium
Lineage: Bacteria
Description: partial 16S ribosomal RNA
Rfam family: Bacterial small subunit ribosomal RNA
Source: RNAcentral
GAUUGUAGUCUGCAACUCGACUCAUGAAGCUGGAAUCGCUAGUAAUCGCGUAUCAGAAUGUCGCGGUGAAUACGUUCCCGGGUCUUGUACACACCGCCCGUCACACCAUGGGAGUCAGUAACGCCCGAAGCCGGUGACCCAACCAAUUCAGGAGGGAGCCGUCGAAGGUGGGACCGAUAACUGGGGUGAAGUCGUAACAAGGUAGC